AACAACUCUAGUGUGUGUUACACUGUCCUCAUAUUGUGGGUAGCAGAACUGUACAGUGUUAAGUUUCUUUAGAAUCUGGUAUAAGGAAGUCGGAUCCUUCUGUAAUAAUGUUCACUGAUACAAAUAUGAUCUGUAGUUAAUUAUCUAGUCGGGAUUUAUACUAGAGAAUGUUUCUGACGUUAUAUUGUUGUCUUUUGUUGCAGACACCAAGUGCUGAGGUCCUGUCUCAGCCUCAUACUUACCCACUUCAUUCUUCCAACAGACACCAAGUGCUGAGGUCCUGUCUCAGCCUCAUACAGACCAAUCGACACCAAGUGCUGAGGUCCUGUCUCAGCCUCAUACAGACCAAUUGACACCAAGUGCUGAGGUCCUGUCUCAGCCUCAUACAGACCAAUCGGUGAGUGACUUACCCACUUCAUUC
Molecule: long non-coding RNA, 421 nt
Organism: Oreochromis aureus
Lineage: Eukaryota; Metazoa; Chordata; Actinopteri; Cichliformes; Cichlidae
Source: Ensembl